CGGGUGAAGCUGGUGAACCUGGGCUUCGCCACGCUGCGGGAGCACGUCCCCAACGGCGCGGCCAACAAGAAGAUGAGCAAGGUGGAGACGCUCCGCUCCGCCGUCGAGUACAUCCGCGCCCUGCAGCAGCUGCUCGACGAGCAUGACGCCGUCAGCGCCGCCUUCCAGGCGGGCGUCCUCUCGCCCACCAUCUCGCCCAGCUACUCCCACGACNNNNNNNNNNNNNNNNNNNNNNNNNNNNNNNNNNNNNNNNNNNNNNNNNNNNNNNNNNNNNNNUCUCGCCCAGCUACUCCCACGACAUGAACUCCAUGGCGGGCUCCCCCGUCUCCUCCUACUCCUCCGAUGAGGGCUCCUACGACCCGCUCAGCCCCGAGGAGCAGGAGCUUCUCGACUUCACAAGCUGGUUCUGAGCGCCGGCCGCGCUCCCGCAGGACAGUUGCAAAAGGGAAAAAAACAACACACAAAAACCAAAAAAAAAAAACCACCACACAAAACCAGAUCACACACAGAGAGACAAAAAUCCACGCGGAAAAAGAACUUGUUGCGUUUCCAGCUCCCCUGCCGUCGGAGGGCGGUGCGGGCACGUCUCUCGGCGGGCGGGCACAGUCGGGGCGGCUCCGGAGACCGGCCGGCCUUUGCACUGCGGGGGGGGGGGGGGGCCGGCCGGCCUUUGCACUGCGCGGACUGCGCCCCGGCGGAGCGGGUGUCCGGCGGGGGAGCCCGGGCCCCGGGGAAGGCGCUGCGCUCCUCGGCCGGCGGAGGAGCUCUUCUUCCUCUUCCUCCUCCUCAGCAGAAAGGCGGCCCGUCUCCGCACCUCGCCGCCGCCGCGGCCCUUCAGAGACUGGCGUUCAUCACCUGUGGACAAAGUUAGUUUCCCGAUGUCUGUGGAGAUGCUGAAGUUAAGCUAUGCUGUACUCAAAGAAGUCCCUGGAGCCCCAUCUACCCCCCAUCUCCCCGUGCCUCUCCCUCCCCUCGGUCCAAGCUUUUCCUCUCGUUUCCAUCAUAGAAUGCUUCCAAACUUUUUUUUUUGGUGAAUUUUUUUUUUAUGAUAAGAAAAUCUAUUUGUAUCUAUCCUAACCCGUUUGGGGAUAUAUUAAGCUAUUUUUGUACAUAAGAGAGAGAGAGAUUUAUAGAGGUUUUGUACAAAUGGUUUAAAAUCUGUAUAUCUUGAUACUUUUUUAAUAUGUAAUGCUUAUUACCUCUUCAUGUUUAGACUCGUAGUCAACGUUACCCUACAACUGCCAUUUUUGUAUGUGGUUUUGUAAAGGACUUGGAUUUACUCCAGAUGUACUUUAGCACCAAUGUGUCUUACUUUAUAGAAACUUUGUUAAUGUAUUAAUAAUGUCAUUAAACAAUGUUCAAAGUGAACAAAGUUUAUGCAGCUAUUGUCCAAACGCAAAACGGUAGCCAUUUGUUUUCAUAUACUAUUUUGGGGGGGGGCGGGGGGAGAAAGGGAAAAAAAAGAAAAAACAAACAAACAAAAACCCCACCACCACUGCCUUUUCUUACUGUUUUAUUACAAACUUACAAAGGUCCUGUAUAACCCUAUUUUAUACAAACUAGUUUCGUAAUAAAACUUUUUUAAAAUUAAAAUUAUUAACUGCCUACUGCAUGCAAUUUUUUUUUCUGCCAUUGACAAUGAUGAAUGUAAGGACAGAAUGUUAAUCGAUGUUAUACCAGAGCUAAGUUGCAUAAGUUUGUAUCUGAUGGAUGUAACAUAUAUAUCUUUAUCUAUCUCUAUAUAAAUAUGCAAAGAUCUAGCGCUAUCACCAUUGUUUUCUUGCCCUUCUGUGUUACAAAUGUGUAUCCAAAUCAAAAAGGCGAGGGGAUGAUUAAUGAUUGCAUUGUCCUUCCUGAAAUCACUGCACAUCACAGAAUUCCCCCCAAAGCCCAGGUCUUAUAAAAAGAGGGCGCUCCAUCCCGCCUUUCGGCGGUGUGACCCUGUCCUCCUCCGCGGCUCUGACCCAACGGGGCAGGAAAACACGGGGGAUGGCACAGCCGCCGCCACCCAAAACACGGGGCGCUGUGCUGCCUCUGCGAAGACAGCGGCUGGGUAAAUAAAACCUCCGCGGUGAAGACGGGAAGCGAGAGGAAUAGGGACAUAAAACUAAAUAAAUAAAUAAAGCAGUAGAAAUCGGUGGCAGCGGAGAGAUAUUGGUCUUUCCAAACUUCUUGUUCUGCCCAAAUAGCGUGAUCUGCCUGUAAAAGUACCCAAUUACCAAGACUCAAAAAGAAAUUGGACUCUUCCCCCCAUUCCCCGCUUUUAUUUUUUUUGGGGGGGGGGGGGGGGGGGGGUUUUUUUUUUUUUUUUUUUUUUUUUUUUUGGCUAGCCUGCUUGUUGUCAGUUAGCAAGGACGUGACCAGAAUUCGCCUUCUUUUCGCCUGGCUCCUACAUCAUUUGCAAAUUCAGUUUGCGUGCACCAAGCCAAGCGGAAAGCAAAGCUCAAAAUGCAUCUUGGAGAAAAAAAAAAAAAAAAAAAAAAAAAAAAAAAAAAAAAAAAAAAGGGGGGGGGGGGGGGGGGGGGGGGGGGGGGGGGGGGGGGGGGGGGGGGGGGGGGGGGGGGGGGGGGGGGAGUGGGGAGAGUAUGGAGAUAGAAAAAAAGCUAGUCCGCUCCGCUAAAAAAGUGCCGUCGAGUUGCGAAUUGCGAGGGAUGCGCUAUUUUUAAAAAAGAAGAGGGGAAAGCUUUGGUGGAGGAGUGGAGGAGCCCGGAAUUUUCCCUCUGUGUGUAUGCAACUCUAUAUAAAAAUAUAUAUAUAUGUAUCUGUGUGUGU
Molecule: long non-coding RNA, 2772 nt
Filed under: Ficedula albicollis (Collared flycatcher)
Lineage: Eukaryota; Metazoa; Chordata; Aves; Passeriformes; Muscicapidae
Description: lncRNA (ENSFALG00000026957.1)
Source: RNAcentral